AUGGGCAGGUCUCUGACUUCUCAUCUAGGGUUCAAAGGGACCUGGGAACUAAAUCCAUCACUCAUCAUCAUUUCUUUCUGUGGAAGGUGGCAGCUUGAAAGAGCACAACUUGGAACACUUCCUCUGCUAUUGAUUUGCAGUAUAACCUUUGUAAUGCCUCAUUUCAGCUACUUACCUCUGCACUCUCAAGCCCUUGCUGUCCAUCAUUCCUCCUGUUGUUGGGUCACCUUUCCCCUCCAUGGUGCUUUCUUGGAUGGAUCCUUCAAGACCACUCUGUCUGCCUCCCGUCUGCAGGGUCCACAUGUGGCCCAACUGGAUAUGCUUUGCUAGACUUUCUCAUCCCAUGUCUCCUCUCUGCUGUUGGUGGAAAAGACUUCUUAAAGCAAGUAUCAAAUGUCGUUUGCUAUGUCCCUCAUCGUCCCAGCAACACGCAUCAAGCUGUUUAAAUGGUCACUUGUUUUGAUUAGCUAGAAUACUUGUCAUCUAAUCUUUUUUCCUCUUGGUUGAUGAGGCAUGGCACUCUGGAGAAUUAAUUACAGAGAAAUCUUUCUGUUGUUAGAAGUCAUUUCAGCCUUUGGCUGCAAAGAAUUGUUUUCUGAUCAUAGACUCUGCUCCUUAAUCCUACCACAGAGAUGAUCUGGCUGAAACAGAUUGUCCUUUGCUUGUGACCAGAAACAAGCAUAUUUUUUUAUUUUGAAUGGCACCAGUGCUGGAUUUCAACCAGAGCCUCUGCUGACACCCCAAGAGCACCCCUUCUCUUUUUUUAGGCUUUUAGCUGGACAAAGCUUUACAUUUUAUCAGGGUUGUCAGUAAUCUACGGCAAGCAGCAGCAUGUUUUACUAGUGCUAAGAAGACUACAUAUCUGUUUGCAUAUGCUGCAUAAAAAAACUCUCCUAAAAGUUACAGCUUAACAAAACAACCAUGGGCUCAAAAUUCUGCAGAUCGCUUAUUUGGACUGGGCUUCUCUGGGGGAUUUUUCUAGUUUGCUAGUCUUCUU
RNAcentral lists this long non-coding RNA (997 nucleotides) under Sus scrofa (pig). Its description in RNAcentral is "lncRNA (ENSSSCG00070000708.1)". Lineage: Eukaryota; Metazoa; Chordata; Mammalia; Artiodactyla; Suidae. The record is from RNAcentral.